Molecule: transfer RNA, 452 nt
Filed under: uncultured Cryomorphaceae bacterium
Lineage: Bacteria; Pseudomonadati; Bacteroidota; Flavobacteriia; Flavobacteriales; Cryomorphaceae
Description: 16S-23S ribosomal RNA intergenic spacer
Rfam family: tRNA (bases 126-199)
Source: RNAcentral
GGAGAGAUUUGUUGAUAUUCCAACAAUUUUAUACUUGUAUUUAAUUGAAGGAAUGUUCCAUUUAUUUGGGUCUGGAUAUUUACUUUUUCUUUUACUUCAUUUUAACGAUACGUACGUGCAUGCAGAGUCCCGUAGCUCAGCUGGUUAGAGCGCUACACUGAUAAUGUAGAGGUCCGCGGUUCAAGUCCGCGCGGGACUACAUUAUUUGGGUAUGAUCCAUCAGUUUUUAUGGGGGAUUAGCUCAGCUGGCCAGAGCACCUGCCUUGCACGCAGGGGGUCAUCGGUUCGACUCCGAUAUCCUCCACUAAAAACAGGGAUUUAUUUAAAGAUAAUAGGGCGUCAUAACCCCGAUUUAUCUUGAAAAGAUCCAAUGUUUAAUCGUUCUUUGACAUCUUGAGAGAAUAUUUUCAAUGUUUAUUAAUUACAAUUUUGCUAAUAAAUAUUAUCGUAAU